This 468-nucleotide ribosomal RNA is filed under the name uncultured bacterium. Its description in RNAcentral is "partial 16S ribosomal RNA". It matches the Rfam family "Bacterial small subunit ribosomal RNA", at positions 28 to 507 of the family's 1533-position model. The record is from RNAcentral.
GACGAACGCUGGCGGCGUGCUUAAUACAUGCAAGUCGAACGGAAAAGCACUGGCUUUCUGGGGUGUGUUAGUGGCGAACGGGUGAGUAACACGUGGGUAACCUGCCUUUGAGAUUGGGAUAACUUCGGGAAACCGGGGCUAAUACCGGAUAGGAGUUUCUGCUGCAUGGUCGGGGUUUGAAAGUUUGUUUGGGUUGGGAUGGACAGAUGGCUCAUCAGCUCAUUGGCUAGGUAGUGGCUUACCAAGUCUUUGACGGAUAGCCGGCAAGAGUGGGUGACCGGCCACAUUGGGACUGAGAUACGGCCCAGACUCCUACGUGAGGCAGCAGUGGGGAAUAUUGCACAAUGGGCGGAAGCCUGAUGCAGCAACGCCGCGUGCGGGAAGACGUCCUUCGGGUUGUAAACCGCUUUCGCCUGUGACGAAGCGUGAGUGACGGUAAUGAGUAAAGAAGCACCGGCUAACUACGUG